This is a long non-coding RNA of Cucurbita maxima (winter squash), 487 nucleotides long. RefSeq lists it as uncharacterized. NCBI's taxonomy places the organism in Eukaryota, Viridiplantae, Streptophyta, Magnoliopsida, Cucurbitales, Cucurbitaceae. The transcript is spliced from 2 exons. The record is from RefSeq and is a predicted model, not a curated record.
AUACAUAAUUGCAAACAAAACGACCCGCAUCCUCCGAUAAUAUCACAUUGUAGCUUUUCGCCUUCAACCUCUCUAAGAUCGUCGGAGCCGAGCAGGAUGUCUUGAAACAAUGAUUGACAACAUACAAUAACAGCUCAAGAAGUAAGAGAGGAAAUCAACCUGAGGCUGCCAUCCGAGUUCGUCUGGAUAACGAAAAGUAGCUUCGUUCACAGCUUGCCAUUCAACAGCAAACCUCGUCGAACCACUAUUGACUCCCAAGUGAAGCUGAACAAACAUGAACAAAUCCUCUCCAGGUUUGAGUAUUCAUUAUUAAUCAUAUCUCAGCUAUACAAAAACGGAAAUUUUGCUACAUAUCAGUAUAUACAAAAAAUUUCCUUUGCUGUGUGUGGGGCCUAUCUUGAUAGGAUAGAAAUAUUAGUUGAAUGCACAAGUUUAUCAAAUAUAAUGUAAUGCUGUUAGCUUUUAAAUGAAGAACUUGUUCAUUUAA